This 391-nucleotide ribosomal RNA is filed under the name uncultured bacterium. Its description in RNAcentral is "bacterial SSU rRNA". It matches the Rfam family "Bacterial small subunit ribosomal RNA", at positions 417 to 793 of the family's 1533-position model. The record is from RNAcentral.
UUCGGGUUGUAAAGCACUUUCAGUCGUGAGGAAGGUAGUGUAGUUAAUAGCUGCAUUAUUUGACGUUAGCGACAGAAGAAGCACCGGCUAACUCCGUGCCAGCAGCCGCGGUAAUACGGGAGGGUGCGAGCGUUAAUCGGAAUUACUGGGCGUAAAGCGCAUGCAGGUGGUUUGUUAAGUCAGAUGUGAAAGACCCGGGGCGUCAACCUACGGAAUAGCAUUUAGUAAACUGGCAGACUAGAGUACUGUAGAGGGGGGUAGGAAUUUCAGGUGUAGCGGUGAAAUGCGUAGAGAUCUGAAGGAAUACCGGUGGCGAAGGCGGCCCCCUGGACAGAUAUUGACACUCAGAUGCGAAAGCGUGGGGAGCAAACAGGAUUAGAUACCCUGGUAG